Molecule: long non-coding RNA, 1342 nt
Organism: Ornithodoros turicata
Lineage: Eukaryota; Metazoa; Arthropoda; Arachnida; Ixodida; Argasidae
Exons: 6
Source: RefSeq, a predicted model, not a curated record
UUCGCGUGCUGCUUGUUCAGUUCCACGGUUCCACUUCCUCGUUACAACCUUGGAACUUGUUACUUGCUUGGUUGUGCUUUGCUCGGUCCUUCGUCCUUCCAGGUAGUACUGUGUAGUGUAGCGAUACGUGAACCAACAGUGAUGCCGUGCAGUAUUCGAGGCUGUGUAAAUUACAGAGCCAAAACAAGCGCUCCGGGCUUGCACUUCCACAAUGUUCCACGGAGAGAGCCAGCGAGAAGCAAGUGGCUCGAAAUAAUGAACUGGAAACGCGGCACUCCCAGUUCCAAUGUACGAGUAUGCAGUCUCCAUUUCAAGCCGAGCGACUACGAACAUAACCCCGUUGCGACAAAAUCGGUUGGCAUGCUGUUCUUGAAUCAUCUGAAAGCGGGUGCUCUGCCCUCGCUGAAUCUGCCGAGCACAAGCCAGCCAAGCAAACGGCAAAGAACUGACACCUCACCUGAUAUGUCGAACGGCACUGUAACCACGGGGACAGAAACAGAAACAGAGACACAAACGGAACUUCUUACAAAGGCACGAAUGUUAACAGGAAGACGCAAGCACACCCAAACUCAUAUCGUGUGCAGACGUAGGAAUCCAAGUGUGCCCUCUGAAGGAAAGCAUUGGCGUGCAGACGAGCAAACCAAAAAUGUUGGCAGCUGCCUACCAAUCUGAUCGUCGUGUGUACAAGUGGUUCCACUGCACGUGCGGAGCUCACAGAUGACCAAUAGUGCAAGUAGUCGUGCUGCAGGGAGUCAUCUCCAAGCCGCUGCUCAACACCAGUGCUGAAGAGAGCGCUUGAACAUCACAGAUCGACGCGUCGCUACAUCUGAAGGUCCUACGAUCGAAGACUUGCCUGGAAACACUACCUGUGUGCCAGCUGUUGAAAGCAUGAUGAGGAAAAAAAGAGGAAGAAUCUUGUAGAGUGAGCUUCGGAAGCUCUUCGAAACCUGGAGGACCUGCCUGCAGCGAUGGGUUCAGGGUUCCCACAAGGAUGACCAACAUCUUGUGCAGGAAUGUCACCCAUACAUUGCUGGUAUGGAUGAAAUGCGAGGCAGACUUCCUAGCGGAAAUCUAGGUACAACAAGACUCUCCUGCCUGCAACGGAUGGUCGCUGUGACUCACCUGGUUGGGGCUCGAAGUAGCUACCACGAGAGUUUGACGGAGAUCCUAUUCACAUUCAGGUGAAUCAGGGGGUAUCAGCCAGCCACAUAGAACCGCCGCAAGGGUCACUUGGAAGCUUUCAAUGUUGUUUCGAAGUCUCGUACAACAAACUGCUGCCCUGGUGGUAGCAAGUGCGUGUGUACAUCAUGCCUGGAUGCGAAAUAUUGGUUUGGCAUGAGCA